This is a long non-coding RNA of Anopheles gambiae (African malaria mosquito), 7991 nucleotides long. RefSeq lists it as uncharacterized. The transcript is spliced from 2 exons. NCBI's taxonomy places the organism in Eukaryota, Metazoa, Arthropoda, Insecta, Diptera, Culicidae. The record is from RefSeq and is a predicted model, not a curated record.
CUCCUGGCGAUGUACUCCUGGAUCGACAGGACGACGUAUUUAAAACAAUACAGUUUAGGCGCUGUUUUUCUCUUGUAAUCGUAGAUGCAUCGAACCAAAGUACUGCUGCACAAGCAUUUUUAAUUUUAAUUCCGGACAGAAUUAAAUUAGUCUUUUUGUACAAAUUUCUGUGCAAUAUGAUAAAACACUGAUGUUUUUACUGUUUGAUAACUACCUCUACCUCUAUGGAUUUCGAUGUACUUCAUGUAAUGCAAUAGACAAGAUUAAUAGGAAUACUCGAAGAAAUUACAUUGGUGUUGGUUUGAACCGAAACUGGUAAGAAUUCCUCAGGUGAUGAACUUAACGACAGAAAAUAUUUAGUUUUCGUGACAUCAGGGCCUACUAAGGGAGUGACACAUUUUUAAUUGAUUCUAGUACACCAUGGCAAUAGUGUAAAUUAAAAAAUCGGCACAGCAAAGGCAUGAUUAGAUAUAAAGAAAUAAAAAAAAAAACCUCCUGAUGAAUUUUCGGAGUCCGAAGUUGUACGUAAUUUGAAUCAACACCACUUUUCUGGGUCCCAUGGUUCAUCGACGUUUCCCCUUUUCAAAUAUGGAUUCCAUCAACCAUUCCAUCAACCAUCAACCAUAAAAGCCUACAGGAUGUGAUGACUGGGGCAUGUAAAGAGGAUAUUGGAUUAUUACAACGCCAAGAAUCUUCUUCUUUUUCUUCUUAUUGGUGUAAUGACUUAUUUGGUCAUAGCCCUAAAGGGAUUUUUAUUGAUUUAUUUAUUUAUUUAUUUAUUUAUACAAACUCCAAAGGACCGCUGAGUCUAAUCGGAUAACUUACUAUAGUUAAAGUACAAAUAACAUAAUACAUGACACGCACACAUUACACAUAAGGCAAGUGCAACCUUGCUUUAAACACAGUUGUAGACAUACACUAAUCGAACAUUUCUAACUCUUCAAGGGACAUACGUUACAUAGGUAGGAGUUAGCACGUUGUCUGUUCGGUAGCCAAUAAAACGAUUCAAAUAAAAUAAUUUAAAUUAAUUCAACAAUUAAGAUGAUCUUAGCUAAUGCUCUAACUGUCAAACAUAUUGUUGUGUAAAGCACCAUGGGAUAUCAUUUAUUAAAUUAUAAUUAAAAUUAAACUACAAUCGCAUGAAAUUGUGCACCAAUACCAUGAACGCUGGGAACCAACACUCAAUAUCUCUCUCUCCCUCCUAUUGUUUGCUCGCACAAUCCCUUCACGCCAUCAGGUAUGUUAUGCUGCACAAUGCACAGCGUUCUUUUCCCGCCCCACGGUUUGCCGAAUGCUGCACCCCGAUUGGUUGCUAUAAAACUCGAAACAUAAUUGCUCUGCUGGGUGGCUUCACCACCCUGCACCGUAUAAUGUUGCUAUACUGCAAAGGGGCGUACCCGGCAAGCAGCAUAAACUCACGUACCGUUAUGCUAGCGAAUGCAAUCGACUGAGAGGUAACGCGGGGGCCUGCCUAUGCUUUAAAAUCAGUUUCCAAGCUGUAAUCUGUUCAUAGCAAACCCUUUCCACGUGCUUGCGAUACAAAUAAAACGGAAAACGAGUUCGCCUUGCCCAGUGUAUUGUGGUAGUAAAGGAAUUGUUUUCACUGGAACCGGGCGUACAGCAGUUUGCCCAAGGAUUGUCGAACUGAUGCAACAUAAAUUUAGAUUGUUUAUAUUUUCUUACGAGCUGCGUGCGUGCGAAUGCGGCGAAAAGUUCGAACCCCGUUCGAUGCUACCCGGGUUUGUCACGUUUUCUAGGGAAGGGCUUUCUAGCCAAGGGCUAUAAAAACGUGAGUAAAAUCACGUGAAGCUUGUUUGGAUGGGCGAUGAUAUUGUACAACACUGUUAGCAUAGGACACUGCCAGCAUGAAAUGCAAAUGGCUAGACAGUUUUAGGUAUUACAACUGUAUAUAGGCGCUUUUGUAGUAUUUUAAUUGGGAUUUUUGUAACAUUGUUAGGCAGUUUGUGUGUAGGAGAUAAUAACUCCCAUGGUAGUCUUAAAAGAAAUAAAUUCCAAAUAUGUAAAACAAAAGUCGCGCGAGUGAGGCACUCGUUUGCGAGCGUAAAGAUAUCUUUUAAUGUAAUACAAAUCACUAAUAAAGCCGGAAACUAGUUUGGAGCAUGCACCUUAUCUAGGAGUAAUCAGUAGAUCGUGGGCGCACAACGAGAUAAAUGGAAGCAGAACUCAUUGCGGCAAGUAAAAUAUUAAAAUUUAUUAACCUAUUUCAAUAUCAGUUAAAAAGCAUGCCCGCAGCAUUUUUGUCCGCUCUACGAUUGUCACACCUACAUAGAUGUUAAAGAUUAAGUGCCUGCGCUUAGCAUACGGCAAUGACUCCAUGACAUCCAUCCAUCUCUCCCAGGUUGGUUGUGGUGUAAGGGACUGCACACAAAACAUAAAACGGUGCCAUAAUCGAACGUGUGGUUGAAUUAUUUACAUCGCCUAAUAGAAAUACCGCACGUUCCUGCACCGUUGCUUCCAUCUGCCGGUAGGCCAAACCACUUCGGGCCAAUCCUUGCGACCCGCCGCACUCCAUCACGAUCUCGCUGCAUUGUCCCGCACACGUACAGGACGUGGCGACCGGAAUAGGCGACUGUCUCACGUACUGGGCCGGUGCUAGGUAGGGAACCAACUCGGAUUAAAGAUUGCGUCCUAUCGGUUCGCUCGUACACACGCAGCAAUAGGGCUCGCACCUUUGCCCAGCGCUGGCCGUGUUGCUGAUUCCUUGCAUAAUGAGACACUCGACGGAAGAGUAUCCGGACGGCAAUGGAGCAUCGCACGCUGGAAAAGGUAACGGCAGCAGUUUGUAUGCGGGACCAGUGCAGCAUCAUGUGAAGGUGAACCAGUGAAAAAUAAACCACCGAACGCCAGAGUUGGCAAGAAAAUAGGCUAAAAAAGGAAAUAAACCGCCAAGCGUAACAUACAAUGACAAAUAUCUUUAUCCUUCUCGUGGACUAACACUGAUUAUACCAAGAUUUCGGCUAAUACUCCGUUUGGGAAAACGAUAGAAUCGCCAUUAAUAACUACGAAAUAUUGAUUGUUUGAUGAAAUACAGUGAUUUUUUUAGUAAACUAAUUUGUAGUCUAACUUGUUGCCCCACUUUACUCUCAUUAUACCAGGAAUCGGUAAUCUCUUCAAGAAAAGGGCUAGAUUGGCCGAAUUCUUCAGAAAACGGAUUACGUUAAGGGUUUCACUUAUUUAGAUACGAUUGAACUAUGUUCAGAAAGGCAUCAGAAUUUCAGUUGACCGUCAAAUGUUUACUUAUUGUUGAACAAUUCAAAUUCAAAAGCACCUUAACAUUAUUACCUUGAGCUCGAAAACGGUGUAAUAAUUUUUUAUUUAUAGCCUUGGAAGCUCAUACACAGAAAACAUAAUCAACAUAGGUCUAAUCAGGUAGAUUUCUGAACACUCACCCACUAAACUAUGUCCCUGAUUCGCUGAUAACGGUGCAACGUAGCUAUAUUUUGAACUGAAAUGGCAAACAGUUGUAGUAGUCGUUAAGAAGUGAAGUGCUAAAGUGGUUUAUAUUGGAUAUAUUGGAUGGAUAUUGAAAUCUGAGGUCUGAUAAACGCAUUUUCUUUACGUCAUAACCAAAUUGUUAAUAUUGUACAAUUUGAAAAACAAAAAAAAAUAGUUCAUGGUAUGUUGAUUUACUGGUUCUCAUGUAAGGUAAGUCGACAUUAAGUUUUAACGAUAAUAGACAUCCUGGGAACUAUAAAAUAAGGAAGAAUUAUAAUUUAAUUUUGUAUCUUGAGAACAUUUUAAGAUGGUUUAAUGUCAAAUAUACAUGUUUAAAAUCUGUCAGGAGCUGUUUAGUAGUUAAUAUUUACUUUUUUCAUCUAGAAAGUACAUAUUGCAUUUCUCCACAGACGUGUUAACUAUUCAAUCUAUUUUAGAGUGCUGUCAGUACAUGCAAACAUUGGUAACAACUUAUUUCACGCUGCUCAUUUAAUUUCCAUGCAUGUAAUCAAUUUUAACAAUUCGUUUUUUGCUCUGUAUAAGUCCAACUGUUGUAGAUCCAUGCAAAUGAAUUAGCAAAAUAUCGUCGCGGACAGGAUGAAUUUAGUUCGCGGGAGUAACCGAACCCUGAGCCAACACGAUUGUGUUGAGCGCGUUACGUCAGCAAGGACCAAGACGGAUUCCCCAUAGCGAGAGUGGCAUCGCCGAAUCUCAUUAUACAAAACAAUUCCAGUUAAAAAAUGGAAAUUAAAGACAAGGUGACAGAAUUAUGAUCGUUGCUGUAUAUAUAGUUAUGAGUAUGGAACCACUGCUUUUAUUCAAAAUGAUUAUUGCGUGCAUGUCGCUUUGAUGCUGAUACCGAUCUGACGCGACGGGAUCGGCUCCUAUCGUAUCGGCAUGGGUGCGAGGCUGUUGUAGUGAUAUCGCACCUGUAUUUGUGUUCCACGCAUAUAACUACAUAUUUUUAAAUUUUCAAAAUAAUUAACCUUUCCGUGUACGGCACGUGCCAAGUUUUGCUGACUUCAUGACCUUCUUGCAAUUGUGCACAUUGUGUGUGGUGGUUUUUCUUUUACGCCCUCUCCCCUCCCUUCCUUAUCCUGCACUAAUGACUUUGAACUUCCCUGUCAUAUCCCGCACUGCUCGUCAAAAACCUGCUGCGUUUUCACAAAUGUACCUCUCGCACCGACGGGAUACGAUUUAACGAGUGCUCCCGGCAGGAGGCUGGGAAGCUGAGCGAUUUUGGAACUGAACCAGGAUGCCGAUUGACUUUUUGGUUGUGUGAACGUGUGGGAACUGGCUCCGGUUGAAAUGUUUGAGAAAAGCUAUAAAAGGCACGGUUUGACGGUCCCUUCUGGGGGAAUUUUAACGUGUCCGUUGCCCGGUAGCAGAAUAUACUCAUUAUUUUAGUGUUUUUGCGAAGUUUUUUCUGAAGACACGUGUCACUCGGCAGGGGAAUUGUUUAGUCUGGGGAUAUUUGGCUUGUUAUUUAAAACGGCACGAUUAAGCGCAAUUGCAUCAGAAACUGUUUAAUCGGAACACGGAAAAAGAAGGUCGAUGCAAAAAUCGUUCAACUCCAGCUAUACUUAGACUCGUUUUGCAAUACAAAACAACUACCAAAAUAGACACGCUCUCUUAUAAUAGCGUAUAUCAACUGUCUGUAUAAGGUAAGACAAUCUCAUUUUGAUUGCUAAAACAAUAAAUAAAUAAACAUAAAGGUCAUUCGUACUUGUAUCAGGAUCGCAUGCCUAGUAUUUCCAUAGAUCUCGUCAUUUUCCAUAGAUUUCGGCUGUCUUUUACGCAAAGUUGGCAAAUAAACUAUAAAUGGCUGUAGUCAGUGGAAGGAUUCCAUGGUACUAUGGUUGUUGCAAAAGUAUGUACCAAUUGGUAUCUUUUAUAGUCUUUGUGACAAUUAACGAGGUAAUAAUGUUUUAUUUAUUUUAUUUGGAACCGGUCUGGUGGUACAGUCGUCAACUAGUACCACUUAACAACAUGCGCGUCAUGGGUUCAAGCCCCGAAUGGACCGUGCCUUCGUACGUAGGUAGGACUGACUAUCCUGCUAUGGUAACAAUAAGUCACUGAAAGCCAAGCUCACCUCACUAGUGCGUACAGAGGCAGGCCUUGACCGACAAUGGUUGUUGUGCCAAAGAAGAAGAAGAAGGUAGUCCAAAAAGUUGUACAGGUUAUUAUAAUAAUCAUUAACCUCGUUAAACCGUUGAUCGGUAAACUCAUGAUCAUUUUAAUUUUAAGAUGUGUGUAUAUAAAUUGUGUACUGUACAAAAAAUCUAUAUUUUAUAAAUGCUCCCAAAUAAAAUUGUUGCAUUUAAACCGAUAGUAGAAGAAAGAGAAAAAUAUAAAAAGUUAAUAAAUGAACAAACAACAAACAAAUAAAUAAAUAAACAAAUCUGAAAUAGAAUAGGAAAGGAUCAUUAUGACAAUUUAUGGUAUGACGUGCUUCAACAGCUAACGGAUAAAGACAACGGAGACAGCGGGAAGACACAUAUAAACAAAUAGAGGCAAGCAAAUUGGGAGCAUCGAUAGCGGAUGUGAGUAGCCCGCCAAUAAAACAAACUAGAAUUAGAUGGCGCCGAUGACUUAAGGUUUGUAUGGACUACCUAAUGUUAUUCAAUUUAGUUAGAUUAGUUGAUCGCUCUAAAAAUGCUUUAAUUUAAUCCCAAUUUCACAUUUUUUUUUCUAUACGCCUGUCCAUUAAAAAAUCUUGUUACGACGUCUGGCAUAAAAUUUCCCAAAUGUUAUGAAAUUAUGAAUAUGUUUUAAUUCUUUAAUAAUACCACAUUUUUCUCACCUGGACUUAGAUCCUACACUGUAAACAGGUGCAACUCUCCGGUAUGGCGUGAGAUACGGAAGUCGAGGAAAAACAAGGACUAGGAUAGCAUGCGUCAAGGAGUAACGCUUGUUUUGGACCUUCCCGCACGAAACCGUCGCUGUGGUAGUGUAUUGUACAUACCUUUUUUGUUUUGGAUGAGUAUUCAAGAUAUCGUAAUAAGUGUUUUUGUCUGGCAGAAGGUGACUGUGCUAAUGUUCUCCACACAGGCUCAUGUGUUUUUUUAUAUUUAAAAUGUGAAGCUCAAAUUCUUUCUUAAAUCUCCGACGGUCCAGCUCCAGCGUGUGCAAAAAUGCAAACUCAACGUAAUUGUAUGCACAGCAGGACCAACACAGCCAAACAUACACAUGAAAAAAAAAAACAACACUUCAAGAGGAACGUGUCAGCCAGCGACAGUGGCACUGAUCUCCUACCGUGUGCCGUGAGCUCGUACGCAAUUAUCUUCUGCUUCCAAUUAAAACAAACAAGCUUCCGCAGUCCUCCAGCACCGUACACAGCACCGGCAGGAAAAGGGGCCAGGAUGCAGUUCCGGGUCAACGCGGUUGGGGAAGGAAGGUGCGGACGCUCACCCACAAGCCGUCGCUGUCAUCGUCCUCAUCAUCCACAUCGUCGUGCGUCUCCUCGAUUGCUGGCGGAUGGGGGAAGAUUUUCCGCUCCGUUACCAGAAAUUUCCCCCUGUUUUCGUUGAAGAACGCCGGUAGAACAAUAGCGUGCGGAAACAGCGAUUUAACCCUCACCAGCUCGUCCGACGGUGGAGGACAAAUCGGGAGCAGCAAUAAUAAUAAUCACACCGAUGACAACUACCUAACGCAAACAACUCGCCGAGCUACCACGCGGGUUGCGUGAUAGGCGCUGGUAGGUGCAGUAGUUUUGGAGGAGAUUAUUGGGCUUUAAAACAAUAAUAUCCCGGAGAGGCGUGCACUGCUUAAGGGUGCUAGGGGUACACGUGAGAACUUCCGAACAGUGGACUGUCAAUUUGUAAGGAGUAAUCGAAUGUGUUGAUAGUUUGUUUAUUUGUUUGGAAGUGUUUUUUUGAAUUAUUUUGCAUUGUGCUGGGGCGUUGCUGAGUGUAUGUAGAUUUAUGUUGAAGAUUGAAUCUUAAAAGAAACAUAACGCAAUGUUUUGUUGAAGUGCAAUCAACAGAUUGUUUUUUUUUUUAAUUAUUAUUUAAAAUAAUUUAUGUCUGAUUCUGUACCCACGUCGUAGUUAACAUGUUUGUUAUGAGAAUGAUAGGCCAUCAAGUUAUUAGUUCAUCAGUAGGUCACAAAUCUGGUACCCUAAUGAGUACUAGAAAAAAUAGUAAAAUAAUUCAAAUGUUGUCAGUUAUCUAACGGGUUAGUUGUAUCUAGUACCAUGUCAUGCGAACCAAGUGCUAAAUCCCAGCUAAGUUAGCAGCUCAUUUUGUCGGAAUCCAUUCAUUGAGAUCUUCCAGCCUUAUUACAUUCAAAUCUUGAUCAACUACUUCUUGAUACGAUAUGAUCGCUAUAGUUUGAUAAAUUCCAGGUAUCCAAUGUAACAAAGCAAGAUCUUUUUUUAAUCAGACCGUUGGAAACAUACUACACACAUAGAGAGACCGGCAUAUUAUAGUGCGCACUUUAAGAGGCGAAUGAGGUCAACUGGCUCAAAGUCUCUGUAAUAAUUGAAAAAUAAUAAUAAUAAUAAUAGUAAUAAUAAAUAAAAUAGCGCAACGUUA